This 234-nucleotide long non-coding RNA is filed under the name Mytilus galloprovincialis (Mediterranean mussel). Lineage: Eukaryota; Metazoa; Mollusca; Bivalvia; Mytilida; Mytilidae. The record is from RNAcentral.
GGGGGGCUAGGAUGAAAAAUUUUGUCCUGUAUUUUUUUUUAGUUGUAAUCUCUGUCCUGUCUUUUUAUUUUUCACUCUAUUCGGUCCUGCCUUUUUUUUAUAAGUUUAUCCUGACUUUUUUUACCUAAAUUGUCAUCCUGCAUUUUUUUUUUGCAAAGUGUAUCAUCCUGCCUUUUUUUUUUACUCAAAACUCCUGUCCUGCCUAUUUUUUUCAAAUUUCAUCCUAGCCCCCCC